CUGGAGGUAUCAGAAGUGCGAAUGCUGACAUAAGUAACGAUAAAGCGGGUGAAAAGCCCGCUCGCCGGAAGACCAAGGGUUCCUGUCCAACGUUAAUCGGGGCAGGGUGAGUCGACCCCUAAGGCGAGGCCGAAAGGCGUAGUCGAUGGGAAACGGGUUAAUAUUCCCGUACUUGGUGUUACUGCGAAGGGGGGACGGAGAAGGCUAUGUUGGCCGGGCGACGGUUGUCCCGGUUUAAGCGUGUAGGUGUGUGUUCCAGGUAAAUCCGGUUCACUUUAACACUGAGGCGUGAUGACGAGGCACUACGGUGCUGAAGCAACAAAUGCCCUGCUUCCAGGAAAAGCCUCUAAGCAUCAGGUAACAUCAAAUCGUACCCCAAACCGACACAGGUGGUCAGGUAGAGAAUACCAAGGCGCUUGAGAGAACUCGGGUGAAGGAACUAGGCAAAAUGGUGCCGUAACUUCGGGAGAAGGCACGCUGACACGUAGGUGAAGUGAUUUACUCAUGGAGCUGAAGUCAGUCGAAGAUACCAGCUGGCUGCAACUGUUUAUUAAAAACACAGCACUGUGCAAACACGAAAGUGGACGUAUACGGUGUGACGCCUGCCCGGUGCCGGAAGGUUAAUUGAUGGGGUCAGCGCAAGCGAAGCUCCUGAUCGAAGCCCCGGUAAACGGCGGCCGUAACUAUAACGGUCCUAAGGUAGCGAAAUUCCUUGUCGGGUAAGUUCCGACCUGCACGAAUGGCGUAAUGAUGGCCAGGCUGUCUCCACCCGAGACUCAGUGAAAUUGAACUCGCUGUGAAGAUGCAGUGUACCCGCGGCAAGACGGAAAGACCCCGUGAACCUUUACUAUAGCUUGACACUGAACAUUGAGCCUUGAUGUGUAGGAUAGGUGGGAGGCUUUGAAGCGUGGACGCCAGUCUGCGUGGAGCCGACCUUGAAAUACCACCCUUUAAUGUUUGAUGUUCUAACGUGGACCCGUGAUCCGGGUUGCGGACAGUGUCUGGUGGGUAGUUUGACUGGGGCGGUCUCCUCCUAAAGAGUAACGGAGGAGCACGAAGGUUGGCUAAUCCUGGUCGGACAUCAGGAGGUUAGUGCAAUGGCAUAAGCCAGCUUGACUGCGAGCGUGACGGCGCGAGCAGGUGCGAAAGCAGGUCAUAGUGAUCCGGUGGUUCUGAAUGGAAGGGCCAUCGCUCAACGGAUAAAAGGUACUCCGGGGAUAACAGGCUGAUACCGCCCAAGAGUUCAUAUCGACGGCGGUGUUUGGCACCUCGAUGUCGGCUCAUCACAUCCUGGGGCUGAAGUAGGUCCCAAGGGUAUGGCUGUUCGCCAUUUAAAGUGGUACGCGAGCUGGGUUUAGAACGUCGUGAGACAGUUCGGUCCCUAUCUGCCGUGGGCGCUGGAGAACUGAGGGGGGCUGCUCCUAGUACGAGAGGACCGGAGUGGACGCAUCACUGGUGUUCGGGUUGUCAUGCCAAUGGCACUGCCCGGUAGCUAAAUGCGGAAGAGAUAAGUGCUGAAAGCAUCUAAGCACGAAACUUGCCCCGAG
This 1547-nucleotide ribosomal RNA is filed under the name Salmonella enterica. RNAcentral's name for it is "partial 23S ribosomal RNA". It matches the Rfam family "Bacterial large subunit ribosomal RNA", at positions 1273 to 2803 of the family's 2925-position model. Lineage: Bacteria; Pseudomonadati; Pseudomonadota; Gammaproteobacteria; Enterobacterales; Enterobacteriaceae. The record is from RNAcentral.